Molecule: transfer RNA, 77 nt
Filed under: Desmophyllum pertusum
Lineage: Eukaryota; Metazoa; Cnidaria; Anthozoa; Scleractinia; Caryophylliidae
Description: tRNA-Ala
Rfam family: tRNA
About the family: Transfer RNA (tRNA) molecules are approximately 80 nucleotides in length. Their secondary structure includes four short double-helical elements and three loops (D, anti-codon, and T loops). Further hydrogen bonds mediate the characteristic L-shaped molecular structure. tRNAs have two regions of fundamental functional importance: the anti-codon, which is responsible for specific mRNA codon recognition, and the 3' end, to which the tRNAs corresponding amino acid is attached (by aminoacyl-tRNA synthetases). tRNAs cope with the degeneracy of the genetic code in two manners: having more than one tRNA (with a specific anti-codon) for a particular amino acid; and 'wobble' base-pairing, i.e. permitting non-standard base-pairing at the 3rd anti-codon position.
Source: RNAcentral
UCCUCCAUAGCUCAGUGGUAGAGCGUCCAACCGGCACUGGAAGGUCAUGGGUUCGAUUCCCGUUGGGGAGCUCAGAA